CAAUCGCGUGUAGUAAAGUUGUUGCGGUUAAGAAAGCUCGUAGUUGGAUUUCUGCCGAGGCCGGCCGGUCCGCCCUCUGGGUGAGUAUCUGGCUCGACCUGGGCAUCCUUCCAGAGAAUGUGUCUGCUAGUGACUGAGUGGCGCAGUAUCUGGAACUUUUACUUUGCGGAAAUUAGAAUGUUUCAAGCAGGCAUACGCCUUGAAUACAUUAGCAUGGAAUACUAAGAUAGGACCUCGGCUCUAUUUUUGUUGGUGUCUAGAGAUGCGGUAUUGAUUAAUAGGGAUAGUUAGGGGCAUUCGUACUCAACUGUCAGAGGUGACAUUCUUGGAUUUGAUAAAACGGACUACUGCGAAAGAAUUUGUCAAAGAUGUUAUCAUUGAUCAAGAACGACAGUUAUGGGGAUCGAAGACGAUUAGAUACCGU
This 424-nucleotide ribosomal RNA is filed under the name uncultured eukaryote. Its description in RNAcentral is "bacterial SSU rRNA". It matches the Rfam family "Eukaryotic small subunit ribosomal RNA", at positions 592 to 1018 of the family's 1831-position model. The record is from RNAcentral.